GAAGCUGACCAGACAGUCGCCGCUUCGUCGUCGUCCUCUUAGGAGGAGACGGGCGGAGGGGAGGAAAGUCCGGGCUCCAUAGGGCAAGGUGCCAGGUAACGCCUGGGGGGUGUCACAGCCCACGACCAGUGCAACAGAGAGCAAACCGCCGAUGGCCCGCGCAAGCGGGAUCAGGUAAGGGUGAAAGGGUGCGGUAAGAGCGCACCGCGCGGCUGGUAACAGUCCGCGGCACGGUAAACUCCACCCGGAGCAAGGCCAAAUAGGGGUUCAUAAGGUACGGCCCGUACUGAACCCGGGUAGGCUGCUUGAGCCAGUGAGCGAUUGCUGGCCUAGAUGAAUGACUGUCCACGACAGAACCCGGCUUAUCGGUCAGUUUCACCU
RNAcentral lists this RNase P RNA (381 nucleotides) under Klebsiella aerogenes. RNAcentral describes it as "RNase P RNA component class A". It matches the Rfam family "Bacterial RNase P class A". Rfam says of the family: Ribonuclease P (RNase P) is a ubiquitous endoribonuclease, found in archaea, bacteria and eukarya as well as chloroplasts and mitochondria. Its best characterised activity is the generation of mature 5'-ends of tRNAs by cleaving the 5'-leader elements of precursor-tRNAs. The record is from RNAcentral. Lineage: Bacteria; Pseudomonadati; Pseudomonadota; Gammaproteobacteria; Enterobacterales; Enterobacteriaceae.